AUGCUAGUUUUAGAACCGACAUUUUCAUUUGCAGAACGCACACUGUUCCUAUCUCUAUGGUCAAUACCUCGUCCAACCCCUUUCUCUCCAGGCGUCGCGCGCAGACGGCAAACCGGGCGCCGCCCAUCUUUGUUAUGGGGAAAAUGUUUCCACCGCCAAGUCUAUCGAAGGGAGGGAGGGGAAAGAGAACGUCUGCCCCGCCAUCUUUGUCAUGGGCAACGCAAGGCUAGGUCCUGCGUGAGCGCACGCCCAAGUUGUGGCCCGGCAAAGAGGAGGAGGAGGAGGGAAGAAAGCCGCCGAAGGAAGUGGGAGGUGUCUCCUCUUCCUUGUCCUCCAUCUCUCGAUGCCUUCAGCUGCGCCGUAGCUUUUCGCGGAUUUGCCUUAGGAGACAGGAAAGAAAUAAUGUAAUGGAGACGGAAGAGGCCUAAAGGCUAUCUAGUCGGACCCCCUGCUCAAUGGAGGAAUCAAAGAUGCCCCCCAUUGUUUGUGGGUUUUUUUUAAACUGGCACAAAUUUGUUCAUACACUUGAAUUGCUUUGAAGGAUCGCUCCAGUUACAGAGGAAGAUGUAGAACUCCAUGCAGUGCAAACCAAAUGAGGGAAAGGAGAGCAAGGGGGGGGGAUACUAAUUUAGUAUUUGGGUAUGUUAUAUUAGAUAACAUACCCUGUUUCCCUGAAAAUAAGCCCUAGAAUGCAGGUUUUGGUUCCCACUUUUUAUGUCACAGACCUUUUCUCAGACUUUGAUUCCACAUCUAAGUCAUUGGCUCUGCUUUGAUUUAUGCUACAGUCUUGUUGUAAAUGCUUCUGAGGUGGUUUUAGUAUUUCAUAAUAGAAUCAUGUCUCACAAAUACUUCUAAACAUACUGUACUGUGAGUUGGAAUCUGUUGAAGACAAUGAACAUAUCUUCAUAAAAUACCCUGAAAAUAAUGCACAAAGCCUUAUGAACCUAGCAGUUUUUAGGUCCUAUCAUCCUGAAUCUUACUCCACCUUCUUUCUCUGGGAAGGGUAUACAGGAAAGAGAAAUGACAUUUGCCAAAAUGUGAAGAACUUGUCAAUCCUGCAGGUUGGAUUUGUAAUGUUACACAUAUUACGCUGUUGGUGUUUUUAUAGUAAUUGGGGUUAAGUUAAGUAUCACUGAGUUUGUGAUAUUAUCAAAGACAAAGACACUUUCAAAAACUAUUACCAGACAUCAUUCAGCAACUCUAAUAAUAUGAAGGCAACAGUUUCUGUGUCAAGGAAGGGUUUGCAGUUCACAUUGAAUACUUUGUUGGAGCUUUGCAGUUACAAACCUCUGAGGAAAAGGAUUAACCUUGAAAAGUGUAACUUCAGUGUUUGUGCUGUGCUAACUUUGAGGUGGAAUAUACUUUACAUACCUUGAAAAUCCUACUCAUAGUUUGAGCAUAGGGAGUGUUGUGCUGGAUCAGAUCAAUAUCUUCUCUAUUCUCUUGUCCUGUUUCUUCAUUGAGCAACCAGAUGCUUAUGGGAAAUCCAUAAGCAAUACAGUGUUCUUCUGGUCACAUUCCUUAGCAAUAAACAGAGAUAUUGCUAUCA
This 1549-nucleotide long non-coding RNA is filed under the name Pogona vitticeps (central bearded dragon). Its description in RNAcentral is "lncRNA (ENSPVIG00000003020.1)". Lineage: Eukaryota; Metazoa; Chordata; Lepidosauria; Squamata; Agamidae. The record is from RNAcentral.